UGGGGAAUUUUGCACAAUGGGGGAAACCCUGAUGCAGCGACGCCGCGUGAUUUAGAAGGCCUUCGGGUUGUAAAAAUCUUUUUUACGGGAUGAAAAUGACAGUACCGUAAGAAUAAGGUCCGGCUAAAUACGUGCCAGCAGCCGCGGUAAUACGUAUGGACCGAGCGUUGUCCGGAAUCAUUGGGCGUAAAGGGUACGUAGGCGGCCUAGUAAGUUAGAAGUGAAAUAAUAUAGCUCAACUAUAUAAAGCUUUUAAAACUGCUAGGCUUGAGAGAUGGAAGGGAAAGUGGAAUUCCUAGUGUAGCGGUGAAAUGCGCAGAUAUUAGGAAGAAUACCGGUGGCGAAGGCGACUUUCUGGUCAUCAUCUGACGCUGAGGUACGAAAGCGUAGGUAGCAAACAGG
This 402-nucleotide ribosomal RNA is filed under the name bacterium. Its description in RNAcentral is "partial 16S ribosomal RNA". It matches the Rfam family "Bacterial small subunit ribosomal RNA", at positions 355 to 776 of the family's 1533-position model. The record is from RNAcentral.